RNAcentral lists this long non-coding RNA (689 nucleotides) under Equus caballus (horse). Its description in RNAcentral is "lncRNA (ENSECAG00000055654.1)". The record is from RNAcentral. Lineage: Eukaryota; Metazoa; Chordata; Mammalia; Perissodactyla; Equidae.
GCCACUAAGGGCAGCACUCGGUGCUCUGCCAAGGGAACCUGGGAGUCUGAAGCUGCGUCUGGCGCCGGACUGUUGGAAGGCUGUGCGGUUUCUUUUGGGCUUGGUGCCUGGUUUAUUUUAGGUGCUGGGUCUGCAGGCUAGUAGGCUGACCUUCCUUGGCUGUUCCCCAGGGAGCAGGCUACCAGGGUCCUGCUGUGUCUGCAGCUACAGGGUACAAUUUCCACAGCAUCCAGACGGAGUCGUGGUGAGAAUGGAUAAGAUGACGUACGAGAAAACACCUGGUAUGGUGCCUGGAACAUGCUUUUGGAAGGAUGUGUGCAGCAGUGUGGAGGAGUGUAGCCCGGACGAGCGAGCACACAUAUUUGGAAACAGAGACCUGUGCUUCACUGCAAUCCCUCCACUUAUGAGCCGUGUUGCCUUGGGCAAGUUCCUGAACCUUUCUUUGUGGCCAGCUCCUCAUCUAUCAAGUCACAGCACUUACCUCCUGAGAUCAUUGUGAGAAUCUAAUGAGCUAACGUACCUGAAGAGCUUGGUGUAGAUGAGCAUGGCCACCUGGGAGCCAUGUACUAAAGAUGGCAGAAUCUCAAGGUGGAAAGAUCCUGGAUCCCUCUGCCACUUGGAGAAAAAUGGCCUGCGAAUCUGGAAAACACAUUUUACACUUUUUUGUGAACAACAAAUAAACUUCUGCC